This 62-nucleotide transfer RNA is filed under the name Bambusiphaga maculata. RNAcentral describes it as "tRNA-Cys". Lineage: Eukaryota; Metazoa; Arthropoda; Insecta; Hemiptera; Delphacidae. The record is from RNAcentral.
AAUCUUGUAUUCAUUAAUUGAUUUUAAAUUGCAAAUUUAAAGGUGUUUCAAAACCAGGAUUU